GCAUGGCGUGUGACUCAUCGCACAGGGUUGGAUAGGAGAACGCUCGAUGUUGUACCUUUUAUAUAUUUUCAAUUUUGUUUAACUCCUUUUUCGGUGUUUGUAACAGCAUUACAUAUGCAUACAUGCGUCGAUCAUUGAAUGAUCAUUCAGAGCAGAACAGAAUAAAUCUCAAGAUGUGAAAUGGCCUGAAAAAAAUCUGAGAACCACUGCUUUUCGGUGCUACUUCGAUUCUUCCCGCGCGUGAUGUAGGUUAGGAGAUUCCGAAAAGCAGACGACAAUCAGCAAACGUGACUGUUCAGUCGCGCGCGUGCUUACGUAAUGCACAUAAAACACGUGUUUUCUCGUCGGCUUGCAUCAUCUGCAUUUGUUGCUCCGUUAUGAGCGAUAGAAGGAUAGACAUAACCCGAAACGUUUAAAAUUUGACAGUAAUUGCCAUUAUCGAUUAUCAUGACUGGACGAAAUUUUCUCCCCAAAAAGAUUUUGGCGCGUGAUACGAGUUAGCCGUCUGAUUAGACAUCACUUCUCUUCUUAUCAGCUCCAUGACGUUUCUUGAAACUUCGACGCUGCUAAUCGGACUGUUAAACGCCAAACGUUACACGAAAUGGAAAUGUUUCACAAGCAGGAGAAAUCUACGGGAAAUCCUUCGAGGAGAGACGUUCUGCUCACGUCGUUCAUCUCAGGUGCUUUCGCAGGGAUUGUUUGUGACGUGACACUCUUCCCACUAGAUACCCUUAAAACGCGCUUACAAAGCCAGCAUGGAUUUUUCCAAUCUGGUGGUUUUAAGCAACUGUACAAAGGCAUAGGACCUGUAGUGUUAGGUUCUGCUCCAUCAGCUGCCAUAUUUUUUAUUACUUAUGAGGGAAUAAAACAGUAUUCACAACCAUAUAUACUGAAUCAGUAUCAUUCUAUCAUACACAUGGUUGCAGCAUGUUCCUCUGAAGUGACAGCAUGUUUGGUUCGGGUACCAGUGGAAGUAAUUAAGCAGAGGAAACAAGCUCUCUUAUCGGACACGCAUCGAUUAAGAUUAAAAACAUUGUAUCGCGGUUACGGAAGUACGGUCCUACGGGAUUUACCGUUCGGUGUUAUUCAAAUGCCAUUGUGGGAGUACUUCAAACUUUGUUGGAUCCGACACGUGCAACGGGAAUGCACACCCUUAGAAGGUGCCACUUGCGGGUCUGCGUCAGUUGCCAUAUCAGCUGCCAUAACAACGCCGUUAGACGUUGCAAAGACCAGAAUUAUGUUGUCAAGUACGUCGGCCGAGAAAGAGGAAGUUAAAAUAUCGGUAAUGUUGAAAGAGAUUUAUAAAGACAAUGGCGUUAGGGGAUUGUUCGCCGGUUUUCUUCCAAGAGUAAUCGGCUUUACUAUUGGUGGAUUCAUAUUCUUUGGUGUUUAUGAGCAAGUCAGAGAAUUUUGUAUAUGCAAUUUUUCACAAUAAUCACUGAUAAAUCGAUAAAUUGUAAAAUUAUACUAAACUAGCAUAAAUUUUAUGAACACAUUCUGGUAUACUUGAGCCUUUCUAUUCGACAAUAUUCGCUGGCAUCAAUUCCGAAAGCUUUAAGAAAUUCUGAAAAAUAUACGACGGUUUUAUAUGUUCCUAUAUGACAACGUAAGUGCAAUCUAUUCUGAGCCGGAGCACGUAAAAUUUUGAAAAAGAUACAUUCAA
Molecule: RNA transcript, 1663 nt
Organism: Ooceraea biroi (clonal raider ant)
Lineage: Eukaryota; Metazoa; Arthropoda; Insecta; Hymenoptera; Formicidae
Gene name: S-adenosylmethionine mitochondrial carrier protein
Source: RefSeq, a predicted model, not a curated record